Molecule: non-coding RNA, 87 nt
Organism: Pleurotus ostreatoroseus
Lineage: Eukaryota; Fungi; Basidiomycota; Agaricomycetes; Agaricales; Pleurotaceae
Source: the annotation of a GenBank genome assembly
GGGCAUUUGGCACAGUGGUAGCGCGCAUGCUUUGCAUCAUCGGGUGCUGCUUGCAUGAGGUCCAGGGUUCAAUCCCCUGAAUGUCCA